This 97-nucleotide microRNA precursor is filed under the name Equus caballus (horse). RNAcentral's name for it is "mir-544 microRNA precursor family". It matches the Rfam family "mir-544 microRNA precursor family". The record is from Rfam by way of RNAcentral. Lineage: Eukaryota; Metazoa; Chordata; Mammalia; Perissodactyla; Equidae.
AUAACCUGGAGAGCUUGUUAGAAUGCAGAUUCUGAUUCAGUUGGUCUGGAGUAGGCCUGAGAUUCUGCAUUCCUAGCAAGCUCCCAGGUGCUGCAGG